CUCCUGAUCUCAGGUGAUGCACUCACCUCAGCCUCUCAGAGUGCUAGGAUUACAGGCGUUUGCCACCACGCCUGGCUAAUUUUUGUAUUUUUAGUAGAGACAGGGUUUCACCAUGUUGACCAGGCUGGUCUGGAACUCCUGACCUCAAGUGAUCUGCCUACCUUGGCCUCCCAAAGUGCUGGGAUUAUAGGCAUGAGCCACCGUGCCUAGCCUGUUUUUGUUUUUCAGGCAAGGUCUCACUUUGUUGUCCAGGCUAGAGUUCAGUGGCGAGAUCUUGGCUUACUGCAACUUCUGCCUCCCGGGCUUGAGUGAUCCUCCCACCUUGGCUUCCCAAGUAGCUAGGACUACAGGUCACCAUGCCUGGCUGAUUUUUGUAUUUUUUUUAAAGAUAGAGUUCCACCACGUUGCCCAGGUCUUGAACUCCUGGGCUGAAGUGAUCCUCCUGUCUCAGCCUCCCAAAGUGCUGGACUUACAGGCAUGAGCUACCACGCCCAGCCGAUUAUUUUCUUUUUCGGCGGGGGGGAUGGAGUCUCGCUCUGUCACUUAGGCUGGAGUACAGUGGCGCGUUCUUGGCUCACUGCAACCUCUGCCUCCCGGGUUCAUGCCAUUCUCCUGCCUCAGCCUCCUGAGUAGCUGGGACUACAGAUCAAACAGAUGAUGGAGGCAGCAACACGACAAAUCGAGGAGAGGAAAAAACAGCUGAGCUUCAUUAGCCCCCCUACACCUCAGCCAAAGACUCCUUCUUCCUCCCAACCAGAGCGACUUCCAAUUGGCAACACUAUUCAGCCCUCCCAGGCUGCCACUUUCAUGAACGAUGCCAUUGAGAAGGCAAGGAAAGCAGCUGAACUACAAGCUCGAAUCCAAGCCCAGCUGGCACUGAAGCCAGGACUCAUCGGCAAUGCCAACAUGGUGGGCCUGGCUAAUCUCCAUGCCAUGGGCAUUGCUCCCCCGAAGGUGGAGUUAAAAGACCAAACAAAACCUACACCACUGAUCCU
This 995-nucleotide small RNA is filed under the name Pongo abelii (Sumatran orangutan). RNAcentral describes it as "processed transcript". The record is from RNAcentral. Lineage: Eukaryota; Metazoa; Chordata; Mammalia; Primates; Hominidae.